CGGGAGCAGUGGGACGCAAUGGUCUUACUGGAGUCUCUCAGGUUGGGGUUAUCACUCCUGUCAGUGAAGGCUUGACUGGGGCUGGAGGAUCAAUGUCUAAGACAGUGGUUCUCAACAUGUGGGCUGAAACCCGUUGGGGUCGAAGGACCCUUUCCCAGGGGUUGGCUAUCAGAUAUCCUGCAUGUCAGGUGUUUACAUUACCAUCCCUAACAGCAGCUAAAUUACAGUCAUGAAGUAGCAAUGAGAUCAUUUUAUGGUUGGGGUCAGCACAACAUGAGGAGCUGUAUUUAAGGGUCACAGCAUUUGGAAGGUUGAGAGCCCUGCUCUAAGAUAACUCCUCACAGGCCACUAGCCACAAACCUCAGCCACUCACUUCUCCAGCAACUUCCAUCCCUCGCUGUGUAAUCCUUUCUCGUUUGUCUUGUUGAGACUAUUACACGGCCCAUGCUGACUUUGAAUUCUAUAGUGAAUACUAUAUAGCUAAGGGUGACCUUGAACUUGUGAUUUUCGUGCCUCCACCUCCUGAGUGCUGGGACUUACGCUGCCUUACCUGGUUUAUGUCCUGCUAGGGAUCCAACUCAAGGCUUCAUACACAGGCAAGCACUGACUGAGCUUCGUUCCCAGUCUGCCAUGAAACCAGACAGUCCACAUUUCCAAGUCCACCUCCGACAGUUCCCUACGGAGAGCAACCAUCGCAGCUUUCCAGAGUCUUCAAACCUGGGAUGCAAUGCCUACUUGGCUGCCCAAUGGGGUAAUUUAAGGGUGUGAUGCUGGAAGCUACCACACUCUCUUGACUUAUUC
This 801-nucleotide long non-coding RNA is filed under the name Mus musculus (house mouse). RNAcentral's name for it is "long non-coding RNA chr16:94709395-94710196". The record is from RNAcentral. Lineage: Eukaryota; Metazoa; Chordata; Mammalia; Rodentia; Muridae.